Molecule: long non-coding RNA, 788 nt
Filed under: Nicotiana benthamiana
Lineage: Eukaryota; Viridiplantae; Streptophyta; Magnoliopsida; Solanales; Solanaceae
Description: long non-coding RNA (NBEN_LNC016235)
Source: RNAcentral
GGAGGACCAUUUGAUAAUGACAUAACGAUACAGAGCCUUGAAUUUCUGAGAGUGCAAAAGUAUAUACGAAGAUUACACCACAAAAAAACAAGGGGAAUUAGUGUGCUACAACUAUCCAGUAUAAUCCCACAAAGUGGGAUCUGAAGAGGAUAAUAUAUAGACGGGCCUUACCCCUACCUGAAAGGGCAGAGAGACUGUUUUCAAUCGAACCUCGGCUCAGUGAAGGAAAGGAAAAACAAAAAUAAAAACAAAAAAGUAUUAGUAACUCCAGCAGAAAUAAAUAAUUAUCUGAACAUAAGAACCAUAAAUAAAAUAGCAUGCAAUAAUAUUAGACAGUAACUACCAUAAGGGAGACACAAUCCAAUACACAAAUCAUAUAUGGAUAGCCCUGCCAAGCCUCACCCAACCCCGGGUGAGGAGUACGUAAAACUCUAGGAGUCCCAAUCCUAAUCAUAUAUGGAUAGCCCUGCCAAGCCUCACCCAACCCCGGGUGAGGAGUACGAAAAACUCUAGAAGUCCCAAUCCUACAACCCUGAUACUAGACCUCCAGACUUUCCUAUCAAGGGCGAUGUCCUCAGAAACCCGCAUUCUAGCCAUGUCAUGCCUAAUCACAUCUCCCCAAUACCUCUUAGGCCUCACUCUGCCUCGCCGUACGCUGACCAUCGCCAGACGAUCACAACUCCUCACCGGGGCAUCAGGACUUCUCCUCCUCACAUGCCCGAACCACCUUAUCCUCGCUUCUCGCAUCUUCUCAUCCACCGGGGCCACCUCCACAUUCUCUCGAAUAA